This 467-nucleotide ribosomal RNA is filed under the name uncultured bacterium. RNAcentral's name for it is "partial 16S ribosomal RNA". It matches the Rfam family "Bacterial small subunit ribosomal RNA", at positions 28 to 507 of the family's 1533-position model. The record is from RNAcentral.
GAUGAACGCUGGCGGCGUGCUUAACACAUGCAAGUCGAACGGAAAGGCCCAAGCUUGCUUGGGUACUCGAGUGGCGAACGGGUGAGUAACACGUGGGUGAUCUGCCCUGCACUUCGGGAUAAGCCUGGGAAACUGGGUCUAAUACCGGAUAGGACCACAUUUUGGAUGGUGUGGUGGAAAGUUUUUCGGUGUGGGAUGAGCUCGCGGCCUAUCAGCUUGUUGGUGGGGUAAUGGCCUACCAAGGCGUCGACGGGUAGCCGGCCUGAGAGGGUGUACGGCCACAUUGGGACUGAGAUACGGCCCAGACUCCUACGGGAGGCAGCAGUGGGGAAUAUUGCACAAUGGGCGCAAGCCUGAUGCAGCGACGCCGCGUGGGGGAUGACGGCCUUCGGGUUGUAAACUCCUGUCGCUAGGGACGAAGCGUUUUUGUGACGGUACCUGGAGAAGAAGCACCGGCUAACUACGUG